This 1951-nucleotide long non-coding RNA is filed under the name Lynx pardinus (Iberian lynx). The record is from RNAcentral. Lineage: Eukaryota; Metazoa; Chordata; Mammalia; Carnivora; Felidae.
CGUCGAUAUGUGAAGCUGGGAGAUCAUGACUCAACAUAAAGUUGAUAUGCCAGAAGGGAAGAGCCUGCCAACUCUCCAACCCAGGCAUCUUUUGCCGGAGUCGAUCCACAUUUUGAAGAGGAGACGUGUGAGGGGAAAAUCUGCUUCAGAGACUGUAUGCUCAGGAGGAGACAGGAGAGCUCAAGUACAAUGAAAAUAGGAGUACUAUGAGAAAAUGAGAAAUCGUCUGGUAACUGGUUCCUACCCCAGCCUGUGGGAGCAGCCCCUGUGAGGAGAGAGGCAAGGAUCCUGUUCUCAGGGAACAGCACUAUUUGGGGAACUUAAGAGUUUCACAGUUUGGAACACCUAAGCAAGGCAGGAUUCUCCUACAGGAACGGCAGCAGCUAAAAUAGCAGAGGCCCAAGAAAAGCCUGGGAGGAGCAAGCUGCACGUGAGUGUGAGCUCGUUUGUACAUCAGUGAGGAACCCCAGGGACUUCCAAAAAUACGUGACAAGAGGACUUUCGGGGACUGAGAUCCUGUCUCAUGAUAGGACGGAAUCCCAAGUCAGCAAAAUUUGAGCGUAAAACCUCAUAUGAUUUUAUUCAUAAGAAGAGUGUUGAUCUUUGAAAUAGUUGGCUUCUAUACACGACAAGAUUUGGUAUUUAGGUAUGAGCCUGAUAAAUGGCUUUACUGUCAUCCUAAGAUAUCUCUAUAUGGAAUUCUAACCACACCUUAACACUGGCCAGGCAGAUGUUACAGAGCAUUGAGGAUGAGCUCACAUGAUUUCCUCCGUGUUAGUUGAAAGGAAACAUUAAUUGAGAUUAAGCAUUUGGUCUUGCUGUGAGUAGAAAAGUUCACUGACUUUCAUGUGCACUCACCUUCCUCCCAUCAGGAAGCUGAGGUGGCUAAGCAAAGUAAAUUUCUCCAAGGUUACCUUUAUGCAUCAAAUUUACAGGUAAAUAUUAAUGUACUUCGACUCACAUUAGCACCAUCUACAUUUCAUAGUAAAGUUUUUUCUGAAAAAAAAUUCAGUAUUUUAUAACUGCUUUUGUGCCACUCUAAUAUUUUAUAAUCAAACAUAGCACUAAUGACCAAAAUGUUGAACUUAUAUGAACCUCAUGGAGCAGGAAUUGUCAUCAAGCAUUUAUGUCAAGGGGGUUAAGAAAGUUCAUAAUUAGUAACCAACUAACCCAAAUAUGAUAGUGGAAGAAAAAUAAACAGGCUGCUGUCGCUUUUUGAUUGUUCUUUUUCAAGGCAAAUUUGACUUGUUCAUCAUUUUCUUCAUCUCACCUGAAUAACCAUGCUAACAUUUAGUAAGUACUGGUCCCAGCCAUCACUCCGACACCCUACAUGUGUUACAGUUGUUCAUUAGAUACACCCCUUACAUGAUGAGAACUCGACCUUCUGAGGUGUUUGAGAAGUGGCUUAGGAAGCAUUUGUGUUUAUGAAGCCCCAUAUGGCUUUCUCAGGCUUUAGGAGCAGCUGAGUGCCACCAUCUAUACAAACAUAUAGAUCAUAAAAGCUACUGCUUCUCUUUUCAAAAUCCUUGUACUUUACUAGUUUUUAGCAAGGGUGUCAUGACUUCUAUGAUGGCAAUCUACUGGGUGGGUGUAAUGCUACAAUUGUUUUCACUGAUUUUUCCUUUUUUUUUUUUUCUUCUGUAUUAAAGGUUGAACUGCGUAAACAGUAUCAUAUGCAUGUUUAUUAACUCUUGUCUUCAGCGUGUACCAGAGCUACAAAAGCUACAUGCACUCUUGGAAAGAAGUAAAUAACCAUAUGAGAGAGUGACAAUAAAGAAAGAAUUCCUUGAGGCACCUGGGUGGCUUGGUUGCUUAAUCGUCCGACUUCGACUUCAGCUGAGGUCAUGAUCUUACGGUUUGUGAGUUCGAGCCCCACAUCAGGCUCUGUGCUGACAGCUUGGAGCCUGGAGCCUGGAGCCUGCUUUGGGUUCUGUGUGUCCCCCUCUUUCUG